GAUGAACGCUAGCGGCAGGCUUAAUACAUGCAAGUCGUACGGGAUCCGAGGUAGUAAUACUUUGGUGAGAGUGGCGCACGGGUGCGUAACACGUAUGCAACCUACCUUUAACCGGGACACAACCUUGAGAAAUUGAGGCUAAUAUCCCAUAACACUGCGAGAUGGCAUCAUUUUGCAGUUAAAACUCCGGUGGUUAUAGAUGGGCAUGCGCGACAUUAGCUAGUUGGUGAGGUAACGGCCCACCAAGGCUACGAUGUCUAGGGGUUCUGAGAGGAUUAUCCCCCACACUGGUACUGAGACACGGACCAGACUCCUACGGGAGGCAGCAGUAAGGAAUAUUGGUCAAUGGGCGCAAGCCUGAACCAGCCAUGCCGCGUGAAGGAUGACGGCCCUAUGGGUUGUAAACUUCUUUUAUACGGGAAAAACCUCUGGUCGUGUACCAGAGCUGAUGGUACCGUAAGAAUAAGCAUCGGCUAACUCCGUGCCAGCAGCCGCGGUAAAGUA
This 504-nucleotide ribosomal RNA is filed under the name uncultured bacterium. Its description in RNAcentral is "bacterial SSU rRNA". It matches the Rfam family "Bacterial small subunit ribosomal RNA", at positions 28 to 527 of the family's 1533-position model. The record is from RNAcentral.